This 262-nucleotide signal recognition particle RNA is filed under the name Homo sapiens (human). RNAcentral's name for it is "Metazoan signal recognition particle RNA". It matches the Rfam family "Metazoan signal recognition particle RNA". From Rfam's summary of the family: The signal recognition particle (SRP) is a universally conserved ribonucleoprotein. It is involved in the co-translational targeting of proteins to membranes. Lineage: Eukaryota; Metazoa; Chordata; Mammalia; Primates; Hominidae. The record is from Rfam by way of RNAcentral.
GCUGGGUGUGGUGGUGUGUGCCUGUAAUCCCAGCUACUGGGGAGGCUGAGGCACGAGAAUCACUUAAACCCAGGAGGUGGAGGUUGCAGUGAGUGGAGAUCGCGCCACUGCACUCCAGCCUGGCGACAGAGCAAGACUCUGGAUUUUCUUUUUUUUUUUUUGAGACGGAGUCUCGCUCUGUCGCCCAGGCUGGAGUGCAGUGGCACGAUCUCCGCUCACUGCAAGCUCUGCCUCCUGGGUUCACGCCAUUCUCCUGCCUCAG